This 26-nucleotide non-coding RNA is filed under the name Rattus norvegicus (Norway rat). The record is from RNAcentral. Lineage: Eukaryota; Metazoa; Chordata; Mammalia; Rodentia; Muridae.
UGCUGAUCCAAAUCUCUCUCAGAUGC